RNAcentral lists this non-coding RNA (120 nucleotides) under Paenibacillus beijingensis. RNAcentral's name for it is "Glycine sequence". It matches the Rfam family "Glycine riboswitch aptamer". Rfam says of the family: This family represents the bacterial glycine riboswitch. Glycine riboswitches usually consist of two metabolite-binding aptamers domains with similar structures in tandem. The aptamers cooperatively bind glycine to regulate the expression of downstream genes. The record is from Rfam by way of RNAcentral. Lineage: Bacteria; Bacillati; Bacillota; Bacilli; Caryophanales; Paenibacillaceae.
AUGACGAUGGCAGGGAGAGACCGGGCGGACAAUCUAGGAUCGCCAGGCACCGAAGGAGCAAGUCGACGGCCAGCCAGCCGGACGAUUAAUCUCUCAGGUAAAAAGAACCGCCAUCCGACG